Molecule: transfer RNA, 70 nt
Filed under: Cavia porcellus (domestic guinea pig)
Lineage: Eukaryota; Metazoa; Chordata; Mammalia; Rodentia; Caviidae
Rfam family: tRNA
About the family: Transfer RNA (tRNA) molecules are approximately 80 nucleotides in length.
Source: Rfam by way of RNAcentral
GGAGAUUUAGCUCAGCGGCAUAAGCGCCUGCCUUGCAAGCAGGCAGUCCUGAGUUCAAUCCCCAGUACCG